RNAcentral lists this unclassified non-coding RNA (254 nucleotides) under uncultured Acidimicrobiia bacterium. RNAcentral describes it as "contains 16S-23S intergenic spacer region". It matches the Rfam family "Bacterial small subunit ribosomal RNA", at positions 524 to 776 of the family's 1533-position model. Lineage: Bacteria; Bacillati; Actinomycetota; Acidimicrobiia. The record is from RNAcentral.
CACGUAGGGGGCAAGCGUUGUCCGGAUUUAUUGGGCGUAAUGAGCUCGUAGGCGGAUCGAUAAGUCGGGUGUAAAACCUCCAGGCUCAACCUGGAGACGCCACCCGAUACUGUCGUGACUAGAGUCCAGUAGGGGAGCGUGGAAUUCCUGGUGUAGCGGUGAAAUGCGCAGAUAUCAGGAGGAACACCAGCGGCGAAGGCGGCGCUCGGGGCUGGAACUGACGCUGAGGUGCGAAAGCGUGGGGAGCGAACAGG